Long non-coding RNA from Ictalurus punctatus (channel catfish), 465 nucleotides. The record is from Ensembl. Lineage: Eukaryota; Metazoa; Chordata; Actinopteri; Siluriformes; Ictaluridae.
GACAGUGAACACAGUCACACUUUGAUCCACUUGUUAGAUAGUUAUGUGUCGUGGCAAAAAAAGAAAAGAAAAAAAAAUCAUAAGCUUAACAAGUUUAGUUUGUAAUCAGAUACAGGCUGCACCUAUGCUGCAGUCAGAAGAUGAGCCUUAAAUGCGAUUUAAAAAUUGAACAAGUAAACAUCGGACCUCUGACCAAAUGGCAUAAAAAAAAAACCCUGAUGUAAGUGUAACGCCUCCAUUAGGUCGCCAGGACACCGCGACUUAAUGGAUGCCCAGAUGAGUCAUACAAAGGAAAACAUAGACCAGUACUCUAGGUUCAGCAGUAGAGAUUGAAUGGAAUAAACAGACAGGCAACAAAGUUGAGACAGCGAGUCGGACUUUCUGACUGGGGUCUCCCAGUCCAGGAUCCAGGAUCCAGUUGCAAAGGGAGGUGGUCAGACCCAGCAGGCUCAGCUUUGUUAUCAG